This 220-nucleotide ribosomal RNA is filed under the name uncultured bacterium. Its description in RNAcentral is "partial 16S ribosomal RNA". It matches the Rfam family "Bacterial small subunit ribosomal RNA", at positions 18 to 232 of the family's 1533-position model. The record is from RNAcentral.
CCUGGCUCAGAUUGAACGCUGGCGGCAUGCUUAACACGUGCAAGUCGAACGGCAGCAUGGUCUAGCUUGCUAGACUGAUGGCGAGUGGCGAACGGGUGAGUAAUACGUAGGAAUAUGCCUUAAAGAGGGGGAUAACUUGGGGAAACUCAAGCUAAUACCGCGUAAGCUCCACGGAGGAAAGCUGGGGACUGGCAACAGCCUGGCGCUUUAAGAUUAGCCU